RNAcentral lists this unclassified non-coding RNA (353 nucleotides) under soil metagenome. Its description in RNAcentral is "partial contains 5.8S ribosomal RNA, internal transcribed spacer 2, and large subunit ribosomal RNA". The stretch from base 1 to 120 matches the Rfam family "5.8S ribosomal RNA", at positions 35 to 154 of the family's 154-position model. The record is from RNAcentral.
GAUGAAGAACGCAGCGAAAUGCGAUACGUAAUGUGAAUUGCAGAAUUCAGUGAAUCAUCGAAUCUUUGAACGCACAUUGCGCCCGCCAGUAUUCUGGCGGGCAUGCCUGUUCGAGCGUCAUUACAACCCUCAGGCCCCCGGGCCUGGCGUUGGGGAUCGGCGAGGCGCCCCCCGCGGGCACGCGCCGUCCCCCAAAUACAGUGGCGGUCCCGCCGCAGCUUCCAUUGCGUAGUAGCUAACACCUCGCAACUGGAGAGCGGCGCGGCCAUGCCGUAAAACACCCAACUUCUGAAUGUUGACCUCGAAUCAGGUAGGAAUACCCGCUGAACUUAAGCAUAUCAAUAAGCGGAGGA